This is a microRNA precursor of Oryza sativa Indica Group (long-grained rice), 206 nucleotides long. It matches the Rfam family "MIR812 microRNA precursor family". NCBI's taxonomy places the organism in Eukaryota, Viridiplantae, Streptophyta, Magnoliopsida, Poales, Poaceae. The record is from Rfam.
AAAAAGAUAAACCCUAGUUUCUGUGUCCAAUGUUUAACCGUUCGUCUUAUUUAAAAAAAAAUAUAAAAAAAAUUAAAAAAACAAAUCAUGCAUAAAAUAUUUAUUAUGUUUUAUCAUCUAAUAACAAUAAAAAUACGAAUUAUAAAAAAAUUUCAUAUAAGACGGACAGUCAAAGUUAGACACGGAAACCCAGGGUUUGUCUUUUU